UCUGGCGUCUUUGGCGUCCGAGUUGUAAUUUGAAGAAGGUAUCUUUGGGCCCGGCUCUUGUCUAUGUUCCUUGGAACAGGACGUCACAGAGGGUGAGAAUCCCGUGCGAUGAGAUGACCCGGGUCUGUGUAAAGUUCCUUCGACGAGUCGAGUUGUUUGGGAAUGCAGCUCUAAGUGGGUGGUAAAUUCCAUCUAAAGCUAAAUAUUGGCGAGAGACCGAUAGCGAACAAGUACAGUGAUGGAAAGAUGAAAAGAACUUUGAAAAGAGAGUGAAAAAGUACGUGAAAUUGUUGAAAGGGAAGGGCUUGAGAUCAGACUUGGUAUUUUGCAUGCUGCUCUCUCGGGGGCGGCCGCUGCGGUUUACCGGGCCAGCAUCGGUUUGGAGCGGCAGGAUAAUGGCGGAGGAAUGUGGCACGGCUUCUGCUGUGUGUUAUAGCCUCUGACGAUACUGCCAGCCUAGACCGAGGACUGCGGUUUUUACCUAGGAUGUUGGCAUAAUGAUCUUAAGUCGCCCGUC
RNAcentral lists this ribosomal RNA (517 nucleotides) under Candida albicans. RNAcentral describes it as "LSU rRNA". It matches the Rfam family "Eukaryotic large subunit ribosomal RNA", at positions 121 to 653 of the family's 3401-position model. The record is from RNAcentral. Lineage: Eukaryota; Fungi; Ascomycota; Pichiomycetes; Serinales; Debaryomycetaceae.